GGUAGAAAUCUCUCAGAGUCCACACCAAAUCUGGACAGAAGCUCACAAAGUCAGCUGCAUCUUCAAUCCCACCAAGAUCAGACUCAUAAACACAGCUGAGGAAUAGAGGAGUUCUCUCUGGCUUUGGUGCCACCCUGGACCACAAAAGGAUACUGCAAGGGUGGAGGAUUAGAAAUGAAACACAAACCGAAAGUGGAAGAGGUUUUCAAAACUUCACUACAGAAAACUGAAACUACAAACGGCUCUACAGGGAAUUUCCUGAGCGUUGGCUGGAUGUAUUUGGCCUGAUUUCUCUGAAACUGCAUGUUGUUAGUCAAACUGAACUUUAAGAUUGUUUGUAACAUUUUUUUUCUGUUCCAAACUGUCCUCGGGCCUGUGAGAAACCAUACUAAGUCCACAGUUACAGUGAAUACAACUCUCAAGUAUGUCUGAAUUAUGUGAAUAUACCAUUUUUGUUUGUUUGUUUUUAAGCAAGCAGCCAUCCUAUGAAAUUCAAGUCAUCUCUUGUGCUUAGCAUUUAGGGGUUUUGAUAGAAUUUUCUCUGAUAAAACUUGAGUUUGACGCAGAAUAAAAUGUUGUAUAACUUCGACACAAAAAACAAAUAAUUUCCUAAAUAGAUAAACCAAAUGCUGAAAAAUUUUAAAGAACUUAAAAAAUGAUCAGUCAUAAAUGGUCAACGGGUUUUUGUAACUGCAUCUUUUAUUAGUUAGGCAAAUAUUCAAACCAAACACUUUGAAUACUUACCAUAGUGCAGUGUUUAAAAAGAAGCAAGCAAGAAAGAACCAAAAGCACCAUAAUCCCUAUAAGGAGAUUUCAGUCUAAUUAAAUGCAAUCUAC
This is a long non-coding RNA of Diceros bicornis minor, 837 nucleotides long. RefSeq lists it as uncharacterized. The transcript is spliced from 3 exons. Lineage: Eukaryota; Metazoa; Chordata; Mammalia; Perissodactyla; Rhinocerotidae. The record is from RefSeq and is a predicted model, not a curated record.